CGAUGUCCGUGGUAGGAGAGCGUUCUAAGGGCGUUGAAGCUAGACCGCAAGGACUGGUGGAGCGCUUAGAAGUGAGAAUGCCGGUAUGAGUAGCGAAAGAUGGGUGAGAAUCCCAUCCACCGAAUGCCUAAGGUUUCCUGAGGAAGGCUCGUCCGCUCAGGGUUAGUCGGGACCUAAGCCGAGGCUGAAAAGCGUAGGCGAUGGACAACAGGUUGAUAUUCCUGUACCACCAAACUCCGUUUGAGCAAUGGGGGGACGCAGGAGGAUAGGGUAAGCGCACUGCUGGAUAUGUGCGUCUAAGCAGUUAGGCUGCAAGCGAGGAAAAUCCCGUUUGCGUGAAGGCUGAGCUGUGACAGCGAGGGAAAUAUAGUACCGAAGUUCCUGAUUCCACACUGCCAAGAAAAGCCUCUAGCGAGGAUAAGGUGCCCGUACCGCAAACCGACACAGGUAGGCGAGGAGAGAAUCCUAAGGUGAGCGAGAGAACUCUCGUUAAGGAACUCGGCAAAAUGACCCCGUAACUUCGGGAGAAGGGGUGCUCUUUGGGGUGUUAAAGCCUCGAAGAGCCGCAGUGAAUAGGCCCAGGCGACUGUUUAGCAAAAACACAGGUCUCUGCGAAGCCGCAAGGCGAAGUAUAGGGGCUGACGCCUGCCCGGUGCUGGAAGGUUAAGAGGAGGGGUUAGCGCAAGCGAAGCUCUGAAUUGAAGCCCCAGUAAACGGCGGCCGUAACUAUAACGGUCCUAAGGUAGCGAAAUUCCUUGUCGGGUAAGUUCCGACCCGCACGAAAGGCGUAACGAUCUGGGCACUGUCUCAACGAGAGACUCGGUGAAAUUAUAGUACCUGUGAAGAUGCAGGUUACCCGCGACAGGACGGAAAGACCCCGUGGAGCUUUACUGUAGCCUGAUAUUGAAUUUCGGUACAGCUUGUACAGGAUAGGUAGGAGCCUUGGAAGCCGGAGCGCCAGCUUCGGUGGAGGCAUCGGUGGGAUACUACCCUGGCUGUAUUGAAAUUCUAACCCAUGCCCCUGAUCGGGGCAGGAGACAGUGUCAGGUGGGCAGUUUGACUGGGGCGGUCGCCUCCUAAAAAGUAACGGAGGCGCCCAAAGGUUCCCUCAGAAUGGUUGGAAAUCAUUCGAAGAGUGUAAAGGCAUAAGGGAGCUUGACUGCGAGACCUACAAGUCGAGCAGGGACGAAAGUCGGGCUUAGUGAUCCGGUGGUUCCGCAUGGAAGGGCCAUCGCUCAACGGAUAAAAGCUACCCCGGGGAUAACAGGCUUAUCUCCCCCAAGAGUCCACAUCGACGGGGAGGUUUGGCACCUCGAUGUCGGCUCAUCGCAUCCUGGGGCUGUAGUCGGUCCCAAGGGUUGGGCUGUUCGCCCAUUAAAGCGGUACGCGAGCUGGGUUCAGAACGUCGUGAGACAGUUCGGUCCCUAUCCGUCGUGGGCGCAGGAAAUUUGAGAGGAGCUGUCCUUAGUACGAGAGGACCGGGAUGGACGCACCGCUGGUGUACCAGUUGUUCUGCCAAGAGCAUCGCUGGGUAGCUAUGUGCGGAAGGGAUAAGUGCUGAAAGCAUCUAAGCAUGAAGCCCCCCUCGAGAUGAGAUUUCCCAUAGCGUCAAGCUAGUAAGACCCCUGAAAGAUGAUCAGGUUGAUAGGUUUGAGGUGGAAGC
Molecule: ribosomal RNA, 1663 nt
Filed under: Cytobacillus praedii
Lineage: Bacteria; Bacillati; Bacillota; Bacilli; Caryophanales; Bacillaceae
Description: Bacillus praedii partial 23S ribosomal RNA
Rfam family: Bacterial large subunit ribosomal RNA
Source: RNAcentral